RNAcentral lists this ribosomal RNA (444 nucleotides) under uncultured bacterium. RNAcentral describes it as "bacterial SSU rRNA". It matches the Rfam family "Bacterial small subunit ribosomal RNA", at positions 354 to 796 of the family's 1533-position model. The record is from RNAcentral.
GUAAGGAAUAUUGGUCAAUGGAGGCAACUCUGAACCAGCCAUGCCGCGUGCAGGAAGACGGCCCUCUGGGUUGUAAACUGCUUUUAUCUGGGAAGAAAAAGGCCAUGCGUGGCAAAUUGCCGGUACCAGAUGAAUAAGCACCGGCUAACUCCGUGCCAGCAGCCGCGGUAAUACGGAGGGUGCGAGCGUUGUCCGGAUUUAUUGGGUUUAAAGGGUGCGUAGGCGGCUGAUUAAGUCAGCGGUGAAAGACUUCGGCUUAACCGGAGCAGUGCCGUUGAUACUGGUUGGCUUGAGUGUCGGAGGGGUACAUGGAAUUGAUGGUGUAGCGGUGAAAUGCAUAGAUACCAUCAGGAACACCGAUAGCGAAGGCAUUGUACUGGCCGACAACUGACGCUGAUGCACGAAAGUGUGGGGAUCGAACAGGAUUUGAUACCCCAGUAGUCC